This is an RNA transcript of Camelus dromedarius (Arabian camel), 2885 nucleotides long. It is a transcript of the gene named centrosomal protein 70, with no coding region annotated. NCBI's taxonomy places the organism in Eukaryota, Metazoa, Chordata, Mammalia, Artiodactyla, Camelidae. The transcript has 21 exons. The record is from RefSeq and is a predicted model, not a curated record.
GUUUCCCUUGCAAAAGAGGAUCCGGGUAAAUGAUAAAGUGCUUGCGCGGCCAGAGCGUUCGUUGCAAUGGAAGUGCGCACGCGCAGACGACAAAGCACGCGCAGCACGCUCCCGCCUACGUUCUGGUAAGCCCCGCCCCCAACAGCGGAGCCAACCAGAGGACUCGGGGCAGUCCCAGCCUCCGACGGCAGCCCGAGACAGUCGCCCGGGCGUUCAGAGGCUGAGCGAGGCAGGUCCCUCGACGCUCUCGGGCUCGAUUGGCCAGCCUCCCACGGCGGUAACGGUCGCAGACGCGGGGCCGGAGGCGGCUGAGCCGGACAAGCUGGGCUCGCUGCUGGAGGGAGGCGGCGGCUGAGGAAGAUGAAGAUCCAGUUUCAGACGUGAGACUCACUGGGUGAUCAUUUCGUUGAGAUCAACUUGAAUGACCAGGUGAAAAGUGCAAGAGGAAUGUGCUAUGACUGAGUGCUAUAAGAUCAUAUAACAAGAGGACCUCAUCUAGUCAUGGGACCAGGGGAGAUUUCCCUGAAGAAGGAAAUUUGAGUCAAGAUCUGAAAAUCAGGCAAGUUACAGUUUUUUAUUGCCAAUCCCUACUUCUUUUGACUCUACAAAAGAAACUGUAUCUACAGCAGCCCCUAAAGCCCAGGAAUCCAGCAAAUCAUCAGACAGACUCAUGACUGAAAAACAGCAGGAAGAAGCAGAAUGGGAAAACAUAAAUGUGCUGUUGAUGGUGCAUGGCUUAAAACCUUUAUCUCUAGUCAAAAGAACAGAUCUGAAAGAUCUCAUCAUUUUUGAUAAACAGUCAUCACAAAGGAUGAGGGAGAAUUUAAAAACUUUGGUGGAAGAAACAUCACGUCAACAGAACAUGAUCCGGGAGCUCAUAGAAACUAAUAAACAGCUUAAAAAUGAACUUCAGAUAGAAAAAAGCCGAGCAGCAGAUCAGGAACAACGAGCUAAUGACUUGGAACAAAUUAUGGAGAGUGUGAAAUCCAAAAUUGGUGAAAUGGAGGAUGAAUCCCUAAGUAGGGUUUGCCAACAACAGAAUAAAAUAAAAGAACUUCAAAAGGAGCAAAAAGCUUUACAGGCAAAAUGUCAGCAUUAUAAGAAAAAACGGAUGGAGCAACAAGAGACUAUUGCUUCUUUGCAAAAGGAUAUCUAUAGAUUAACGAAGGAGGAAGAGGAGCGCAUUGCCACUCAAAACAGAGUGUUUUCUUAUCUCUGCAAAAGAGUUCCUCAUACCGUCUUGGAUAGACAGUUGCUUUGUCUAAUUGAUUACUAUGAAUCUAAAAUUAGGAAAUUUCAAAAACAAAGGCAAUAUAAAGAAGAUGAAAGUCAGUCAGAAGACGACUUCAGAAGUCUGAGUGCUUCACCUACUUAUAAAGGCCUUCUAAUGUCAUUACAGAAUCAACUUAAGGAAUCAAAAUCUAAGAUAGAUGUACUUUUAAGUGAAAAGCUGAAUCUCCAAAAAGAUUUGGAAAGCAGGCCUACACAGCAUGAAUUAAGACUUUAUAAACAACAGGUGAAGAAGCUGGAGAAAGCCCUUAAGAAAAACAUCAAAUUACAAGAUCUUAUCAGUCAAAAAAAGGCUGAUGACAAAAAGGAAAAAGAUGAACCCAGCGAAGAUAACCAGCAGCAGGCCCUAACUGACCAGAGAUACUUUCAGGUAUUGAGUAGCAUCAAUUCAAUUAUUCAUAAUCCAAGAGCUCCAGUAAUAAUUUAUAAACAGAGCAAAGGAGGAGCCCAACAUUUUAAUAAAGAUCUUGUUCAAGAUUGUGGAUUUGAGCAUCUUGUUCCUAUAAUAGAAAUGUGGGCAGAUCAACUGAUUUCCUUAAAGGAUUUGUAUAAGUCCUUGAAACUACUCUCUGCCGAACUGGUGCCUUGGCAUAAUUUAAAGAAGCAGGAUGAAAAUGAAGGUAUCAAAGUUGAAGAUCUGUUGUUUAUAGUAGAUACCAUGUUAGAAGAAGUUGAAAAUAAGGAAAAGGACAGUAAUAUGCCAAAUGUUCAAAUUUUGCAAGCUAUUGUUUCUCACUUCCAAAAAUUAUUUGAUGUGCCUUCUUUAACUGGAGUCUAUCCCCGAAUGAAUGAAGUUUAUACUAGGCUUGGAGAAAUGAACAAUGCUGUGAGAAACCUCCAGGAACUCUUAGAACUAGAUAGUUCAUCCUCAUUAUGUGUGCUGGUGAGCACAGUUGGAAAAUUGUGUAGGCUGAUUAAUGAAGAUGUGAAUGAACAGGUUAUGCAGGUAUUAGGACCUGAAGACCUCCAAAGCAUUAUCAACAAAUUGGAAGAACAUGAGGAGUUUUUCCCAGCAUUUCAGGCAUUUACUAAUGAUCUACUUGAAAUCUUAGAAAUUGAUGACUUGGAUGCCAUUGUACCUGCAAAUGUAACACAUAUGCUCAAUGUGGUAAAAACCAUAAAUGUCAAGUGUAAUGAAUGAUAAUAAAGUGGACACCCAUGCAACAACCAAAAAUUAGAACAUUGCCAGCACUCCAGCAGCCUCUCCCACACACCAUAUGUGCCUUCUCUCAAGAGGUUUUCUGGAAUCAAUAUCCAAGAAGUAAAAUUGCUGUGUCCUAGAGGAAAACACGUCUGUAUACAGUCACAGAGGCUGUGUCCUGAACAAGUGGAGGUGGUACCAUUUCUAUAGAUAAAGGAUGUGAAGGGAACCUCUGGGGAUUUAUAAUGUGGCAACUUUGACAAACAAUAUGUAUUUCAACUUUAGAAGACAAUGCCAAACUUUUUUCCAGAGUGAUUUACCAGUUUAUACUCCCACCAUUAAUAUAUGAGAGUUCCCAAUUGUCUACAUCCUGACCAGUUUUUGGUAAGUCAGAUUUUUAAAUUUUUUGCAGUGUAGUGUAUUAGUGUGGCUUUAAUGUUUAUUUCCCUGAUUA